This 201-nucleotide ribosomal RNA is filed under the name Vibrio parahaemolyticus. Its description in RNAcentral is "partial 16S ribosomal RNA". It matches the Rfam family "Bacterial small subunit ribosomal RNA", at positions 1162 to 1362 of the family's 1533-position model. The record is from RNAcentral. Lineage: Bacteria; Pseudomonadati; Pseudomonadota; Gammaproteobacteria; Vibrionales; Vibrionaceae.
ACCGGAGGAAGGUGGGGACGACGUCAAGUCAUCAUGGCCCUUACGAGUAGGGCUACACACGUGCUACAAUGGCGCAUACAGAGGGCAGCCAACUUGCGAAAGUGAGCGAAUCCCAAAAAGUGCGUCGUAGUCCGGAUUGGAGUCUGCAACUCGACUCCAUGAAGUCGGAAUCGCUAGUAAUCGUGGAUCAGAAUGCCACGG